CCGGAGAAGGUCACCUUCAAGACUGGCACUGGCCUCUCCGACAGCUUUGACGCCACUGCCUUUGCACUCGGGGAGUAAAUAUGGAUGCUGAGUUUUAUUAGUUUAUUUAAUCCUUACGAGGAUUACCUGCAAGGAUUGUCUUAAUCGUUAGUGCCAAGUUCAAUGGCUUGCGUGUAAGAUGUUACAGCUCCAUUGUCUUAAUCAAUAACAUCUGCUUGCAAUAAAAAACUGAUGAAGUGAAUACGAUUUUCCCCUUUAAAAAUAUUUAUACACAAUGAGGCUUAGAAAAUUAAAACAUGGCAGAGGGCCAUCGGCCAGUGGAAUGCAUUGUGCAACGGAUUUAUGAAGUCAUACAAGAGUGAACAGAAGCAGUUCAGCUGUGUAGGAAAGCUUCCCCGGCGGAGGCACCAUCACCCUGCCAGUGAACACAGUUGAUGUAGCUAGCUUGGGCCAAGUUUCAAAGUUCAAAUUUCAACAUUAGUGCUGCCUGUUAUCACUGUGUCCAGAAACUGUUGUCAGGUGCAUGAUCUUGUAAUAUUUCUUGAUGAAAUGAAAUGUUCAGAUAGGCUUACUCGGUCUACCGUUCAUUUGCAAAACAAAAAAGUUGUUUAUAUACUCCAUGGUUUAUCUGCAUACUAUUAUUAUAGCUCAACAUUUUGUUUUGCAAAAUUGGUUCAGUAACCUGAAAUGUGGUAAAUUAUUGUUGUGUAUGUCCUUUGCAAUCUGGUACUGUCUCAUUCGGUAAGGUAGAUACUUACAGCACCGUAAGAUGAUUUUGCAAUGACUUUGAUAUUCACAGAAGUCAUCGCAUGUGUGUAAUGUGAUUUAUGCAUCUGGUUUUGCUUUUAAAACCGGGUGUGACAACUUGUAUCUUGAAGUUUUAUUGCAAACUGAAUUCAGUUCAUAUGAAUGUUAUCCCUUAUUACAAAUGUCUCUCCAAAUCUUGCCUAUGUGGAUGUUGAGUUUUAUUAGUUUAUUAAUCCUUACGAGGAUUACGUGCAAGGAUUGUCUUAAUCGUUUGUGCCAAGUUCAAUGGCAUGCCUGUAAGAUGUUACUGGUCCAUUGUCCUACUUAAUCAAUAACAUCUGCUUGCAAUGGAAAACUGAUGAAGUGAAUACGAUUUUCUCCUCUUAAAAAUAUUUAUACACAAUGAGGCUUAUGAAAUUAAAACAUGGCAGAGGGGCAUGGGCUAGUGGAAUGCAUUGUGCAAUGGAUUUAUAAAGUCAAACAAGAGUGAACAGAAGCAUUCAGCUGUGUAGGAAACCUUCCUCGGCGGAUGCAAUCUGGUAGUGUCUCAUUCGAUAAACCUAGAAACUUACAGCACCGUAAGAUCAUUUUGCAACGAAGAAGGAUCGCAUCAUCAUAACUGGCUGUCUUCUAAUAUUCUAACAAUAUAAUUACAAUUCCAUAUGAUACAGCAUGGAGUUUUUCAUGGUCAUGUCUGAUAGGCUGGUUAUAGAUUCUUGACUCGGUCGUCGUGGUUUGCUAACUGUAAGACUUGUUUCGUCCAGACAAUGAAAUAGCUGUGCUUCUCUUGACUUGGUCAGUGACUUUGUGCGUCAGAGUAUGCUUGCUGGUAACAAAGUCAGCUGUGGCUACCCGUGCAGAUGUGCUAUUGCCUAUGAGGGUCAGGAGUCUAUUUCCUUGCUUUGCCUCUGAAUCAGAGUCACCAGAUUCCAGUCACUUUCCGAAUAACACUGGAACAGGCCUUGAGACCUCUAUAUAUACGUGCCUCUAUUGCAUCAAGUUUCAUCACAACAAGUUGAACUCUUUUGCAUAUAUAGGACACAAUAUAUUCCCAGGUCAGCAACCUUUGCUAGCAAUUAGCCAUACUCCAAUGGCAUCCCAAAUUGAGAGCCACCGCUCCAGUGCAGAGGUUGUCACUGGAGAUGCCAUCUGCAGGAAGAAGUCUGUCGAGCUGCUGGAAGAGCUCGGGCUCCCGAAGGGCCUCCUGCCAAUGGAGGACAUCCAGGAGUUUGGGUACAACCGCACCACGGGGUUCAUGUGGCUGGUUCAAGGGAAGAAGAAGGUCGAGCACACGUUCAAGAAGAUCAAACAGACCGUGUCCUACGCGGCUGAGGUGACGGCAUAUGCUGAGAAGGGCAAGCUGCGGAAGAUCACCGGCGUCAAGACCAAGGAGCUGAUGCUCUGGCUUAGUGUUGUUGAGGUCUAUGUUCCCGAGGCCUCGCCGGACAAGGUCACCUUCAAGACCGGCACUGGCCUCUCGGAUAGCUUUGAUGCCACUGCCUUCGCGCAUGGGGAGUAAACACGGAGUCAGUUGAUUAACUAGAAAUGAUGCCGGUUCCAUAAUCGUACUAUUCUACAGUGAUGGUGCUAAUCAUGUAUACGAUGCUAUGUCUUUCUUUCUUUUGUGUUGGAAUGAUGCCUAUAUAAGUGUGUCCUAUUGCCGCUACGAGUUUGUAUCUCGCAGUUUUUUUAUGGCAAAAUGAAUUCAGUUAGUACAAAAUUUGUUAUCUCUUAUUACAAACAUCUCUUCAAAUCUAGCCUAUCUGGAAGUAACACUUGAUCAAUUUCAUCCUUAUCAGGUUUAUGUCAGUCGUCGGAGGAUAUUUGUAUAAUUUCUUAUGUUCUGUCACAUAUUACAGCAUAGUGAUGAGAGAAUGCCACAAGUUACAACAUUGUGGAAAUGUGGUACUUUUUUUGAAAAGAAGGAAAUGUGUUACUACCUUUGCAAGUGUAGAAUGUUCAAGAUCAACAGAAUUAUGCAUUGUUAGAUAAUUGAUGAAAACCAUAUUCCGGUCGAUACAUCGGAAGGUCUACAAAGUUGUUGAUAUCAAAUAGACUGUCUACCAUGCCAUAUCAGUUGGAAUCUUGGCACCAACGCAUGUAUUUUCAUAAGGUGUAAUGAGUUGAUUGCUUGUCACUGGUGUUAAUCCAGACAUCAGAACUGGAAUCAAGUAAUUUUUUUAUAAGGGUCAAGGAAAUUUUUGGUGAAAUAAAAACACUUUAUUCGCUUUUAUGAAAAACAAUUCUCAUGUGCAUCUGCUUGCAAUCAAACUGAUGAAAUGAAAAAAAUUAUUCGCUUUUAAAAAUAUCUAUAGACUAAGAAGCCUUACAAAUUAAAAAAUAGUGUAUAUGCUCCAAGUUGUUUUGUAAAAUUGGUUGCAUAACCUCAAAUUUGCUAGACUAUCGUGUUGUAUGUCCUUUUCGGGCUUGCGGCCAAUUUGGGACUGUAGCUCAUCAGAGAACUAGAACGUUACACCAUAAGAUAAAUUUGGAAUCCAAGUUCUUGUCAUCAUAAUUGGCUGACUUUUGUAACACGUGAAUAAAUUACGACUCCUUAUAAUGAUACAGUAUGGACGACAAGUCUGAAAUUCUUUACUUGGUUUCAGAGCAGCCAAGGCGUCAGUCGGUCAUCUCUGGCCGCCCAGUUAUAUACAGAUUGUUGACUCGGUCCUAGUGUGCUAACUAACUACUUUUUUUAUUUAAAGGUUGGUGUGCUAACUGUUUCCGUACUACAAGACUUGGGUCAUUUGCACACUGCCAGUUAUGCGUCUCUUGAGUUGGUCAGUGAUUUUGUGCGUCAGAGUAUGCGUGCUGGUCACAAGUCAGAUAUGGCUAGGGUCAUGACUCAUGAGCUCAUUCCUUAGCCGUUGAAUUCUAGUUUGCAGAUUCCAGUUUGUUUCAAAAUUAACUAGCACAGGGACAAGGCUUCAGACUUGAGACGUCUAUAUAAACUUGCCUCUUCAACAUCUGUAUCACCAGCUCAUCACAACAAGCUUAACUCAUUUGCAUACACAACGAAUUCCAAUAAUAGAACCACUUCACAGCAAAAGUGACAUGGCGUCUCAGGCCAUCGAGAGCAACCGUCCUGGCGCAGAGGUCUUCAAUGGAGACGCCAUCUGCAGGAAGAAAUCCGUCGACCUGCUGGAAGAGCUCGGCCUCCCCAAGGGUCUCCUGCCAAUGGAGGACAUCCAGGAGUUUGGGUACAACCGCACCACGGGGUUCAUGUGGCUGGUGCAAGGGAAGAAGAAGGUGGAGCACACCUUCAAGAAGAUCAAGCAGACCGUGUCCUAUGCUGCCGAGGUGACAGCGUUCGCCGAGAAGGGCAAGCUGCGGAAGAUCACCGGUGUCAAGACCAAGGAGCUGAUGCUUUGGCUCAGUGUAGUUGAGGUCUAUGUUCCUGAGGCCUCGCCGGAGAAGGUCACCUUCAAGACUGGCACUGGCCUCUCCGACAGCUUUGACGCCACUGCCUUUGCACUCGGGGAGUAAAUAUGGAUGCUGAGUUUUAUUAGUUUAUUUAAUCCUUACGAGGAUUACGUACGUGCAAGGAUUGUCUUAAUCGUUUGUGCCAAGUUCAAUGGCUUGCCUGUAAGAUGUUACUGCUCCAUUGUCUGUCAUAAUCAAUAACAUCUGCUUGCAAUGA
Molecule: long non-coding RNA, 4387 nt
Filed under: Setaria viridis
Lineage: Eukaryota; Viridiplantae; Streptophyta; Magnoliopsida; Poales; Poaceae
Description: long non-coding RNA (SVIR_LNC001336)
Source: RNAcentral